RNAcentral lists this ribosomal RNA (439 nucleotides) under uncultured bacterium. RNAcentral describes it as "partial 16S ribosomal RNA". It matches the Rfam family "Bacterial small subunit ribosomal RNA", at positions 339 to 795 of the family's 1533-position model. The record is from RNAcentral.
CUACGGGUUGCUGCAGUGAGGAAUAUUGCACAAUGGGGGGAACCCUGAUGCAGCAACGCCGCGUGGAGGAUGACGCAUUUCGGUGUGUAAACUCCUCUUAUAUGUCAAGAAAAUGACGGUAGCAUAUGGAUAAGCACCGGCUAACUCCGUGCCAGCAGCCGCGGUAAUACGGAGGAUGCAAGCGUUACUCGGGAUCACUGGGCGUAAAGGACGCGUAGGCGGGUUGGAAAGUCAGGUGUGAAAUCCUACAGCUUAACUGUAGAACUGCACUUGAAACUUCUAAUCUAGAGUAUGGGAGGGGGAGAUGGAAUUAGUGGUGUAGGGGUAAAAUCCGUAGAUAUCACUAGGAAUACCUAAAGCGAAGGCGAUCUCCUGGAACAUUACUGACGCUAAGGCGUGAAAGCGUGGGGAGCAAACAGGAUUAGAUACCCGUGUAGUC